Molecule: ribosomal RNA, 394 nt
Filed under: uncultured bacterium
Lineage: Bacteria
Description: partial 16S ribosomal RNA
Rfam family: Bacterial small subunit ribosomal RNA
Source: RNAcentral
CCUACGGGAGGCAGCAGUGAGGAAUAUUGGUCAAUGGGCGCGAGCCUGAACCAGUCAAGUCGCGUGAAGGAUGACGGUCCUAUGGGUUGUAAACUUCUUUUGUAGGGGAGUAAACUACGACACGUGUGCCGUUCCGAGUGUACCCUAUGAAUAAGCAUCGGCUAACUCCGUGCCAGCAGCCGCGGUAAUACGGAGGAUCCGAGCGUUAUCCGGAUUUAUUGGGUUUAAAGGGUGCGGAGGGGGGAUGUUAAGUCAGUGGGGAAAUUUGGGGGCUCAACCUUAAAAGUGCCUUUGAUACUGGUAGUCUGGAGGGAGGGUGAGGUAGGCGGAAUGCGUGGUGGAGCGGUGAAAUGCUUAGAUAUCACGCAGAACUCCGAUUGCGAAGGCAGCUUAC